This 111-nucleotide microRNA precursor is filed under the name Medicago truncatula (barrel medic). RNAcentral describes it as "miR5560 stem-loop (mtr-MIR5560)". Lineage: Eukaryota; Viridiplantae; Streptophyta; Magnoliopsida; Fabales; Fabaceae. The record is from miRBase by way of RNAcentral.
AGUCGGCAAUCCUCUCAUUCACUCAGCCGGUACAUCAUUGGUCGUUGGAAUUUGAUCAGGAUCCAACAACUACAUGAUGUGCCGGCUCAAUGAAUGCGGAGAAUUUCUGAC